Molecule: transfer RNA, 90 nt
Filed under: Acidobacteriota bacterium
Lineage: Bacteria; Pseudomonadati; Acidobacteriota
Also listed under: 3 other names
Description: tRNA-Ser
Rfam family: tRNA
About the family: Transfer RNA (tRNA) molecules are approximately 80 nucleotides in length. Their secondary structure includes four short double-helical elements and three loops (D, anti-codon, and T loops).
Source: RNAcentral
GGUGAGGUGCGAGAGCGGUUGAAUCGGGCGGUCUCGAAAACCGUUGAACCUUCGCGGGUUCCGUGGGUUCGAAUCCCACCCUCACCGCCA